CUUGCGGUCAUAUUUUGUUGCAACACCAGUUCCCGUACGAUCCCCGAAGUUAAAUAACGACGAGUCAGGUCAGUACUUACAUGGGUGAUCUCUUAGGAAUAUCAGGA
Non-coding RNA from Acanthosepion pharaonis, 107 nucleotides. NCBI's taxonomy places the organism in Eukaryota, Metazoa, Mollusca, Cephalopoda, Sepiida, Sepiidae. The record is from the annotation of a GenBank genome assembly.